This is a non-coding RNA of Erinaceus europaeus (western European hedgehog), 292 nucleotides long. The record is from Rfam. Lineage: Eukaryota; Metazoa; Chordata; Mammalia; Eulipotyphla; Erinaceidae.
GGAUAUGAGGGUGAUCUGGCUGUGCCAUCUGUCACUCCAUCUAUUUUCAGGGUUGAUUUAGCUGAUCUGCUUGGCUAGGUGGGUAUCCCCUUCCUCCCUCUCUGCUCCGUAUGUGCUGGUUCCGUAGUGCUGGUUUUGAAGAGGACAGUCAUCUCCAAACAGAGGCAGAUUGGUCUUCAGUUUAGGGUAUAUGACCCGUGAUCCCCUGCUCAAAGCUCCAAACAAGUUCUCUGUGUAAGAAGUAGAAUAUUGACUUUCUAAUGUCAUUUUUUUUAAUACUUAUUUUUUUAAA